AUGCUUGAACCAUCUUUUCUUCCUCAGAUCAGCUCCAUUCAUUUUCUCUCUGCAUUCAAAGUUUAAUUUGAAUUUUCUCCGAACCCGUUUUCCGUUUCCGAUCAUUAUACUACCGAGAAUGAAUUCCAUGAGGAUGGCUGCACUCCCAAUUCUUGGAUUCAUGUUGAUGGCUCUGCUUCAACUCGGGUCGGGUCAAAUCACGGCUCCUUCUCCUGCUCCGGCCGCCGCCCCUUCCAAUGAUGGCGUCGCCAUUGAUCAAGGAAUUGCUUACGUUCUUCUGCUGGUUGCGCUGGCGGUUACAUAUUUAGUCCAUUAAUUAACAGAGUAGAAGAUCAGAGAUUCUUUUUUAGACAUUUUACUAAGCUACCAAAUUCUUUAUUAUUAUGUAUUUGAUUUUCUCCUACACCUGGAGAAUUUCAUACUUUUGUAUUCUUUCUUGAUGGGAUUGUAAAGGAGUUUUUCUUCGGUUAGUUACUACAUAUAUUAUAUGUAUAAUACAAAUUCGUUUACAGUUCA
Long non-coding RNA from Ipomoea nil (Japanese morning glory), 516 nucleotides. RefSeq lists it as uncharacterized. NCBI's taxonomy places the organism in Eukaryota, Viridiplantae, Streptophyta, Magnoliopsida, Solanales, Convolvulaceae. The transcript has 2 exons. The record is from RefSeq and is a predicted model, not a curated record.